Molecule: ribosomal RNA, 520 nt
Filed under: uncultured bacterium
Lineage: Bacteria
Description: bacterial SSU rRNA
Rfam family: Archaeal small subunit ribosomal RNA
Source: RNAcentral
AACCUCCGCAAUGUGAGAAAUCGCGACGGGGGGAUCCCAAGUGCCAUUCUUAACGGGAUGGCUUUUCUUAAGUGUAAAAAGCUUUUGGAAUAAGAGCUGGGCAAGACCGGUGCCAGCCGCCGCGGUAACACCGGCAGCUCUAGUGGUGGCUGUUUUUAUUGGGCCUAAAGCGUUCGUAGCCGGUUUGAUAAGUCACUGGUGAAAUCUUGUAGCUUAACUGUGAGAAUUGCUGGUGAUACUGUUGAACUUGAGGUCGGAGAGGUUAGCGGUACUCCCAGGGUAGAGGUGAAAUUCUGUAAUCCUGGGAGGACCACCUGUGGCGAAGGCGGCUAACUGGAACGAACCUGACGGUGAGGGACGAAAGCCAGGGGCGCGAACCGGAUUAGAUACCCGGGUAGUCCCGGCCGUAAACGAUGCGGACUUGGUGUUGGGAUGGCUUUGAGCCGCUCCGGUGCCGAAGGGAAGCUGUUAAGUCCGCCGCCUGGGAAGUACGGUCGCAAGACUGAAACUUAAAGGAAUU